GACGAACGCUGGCGGCGUGCUUAACACAUGCAAGUCGAACGGAAAGGCCCUGCUUUUGUGGGGUGCUCGAGUGGCGAACGGGUGAGUAACACGUGAGUAACCUGCCCUUGACUUUGGGAUAACUUCAGGAAACUGGGGCUAAUACCGGAUAGGAGCUCCUGCUGCAUGGUGGGGGUUGGAAAGUUUCGGCGGUUGGGGAUGGACUCGCGGCCUAUCAGCUUGUUGGUGGGGUAGUGGCUUACCAAGGCUUUGACGGGUAGCCGUCCUGAGAGGGUGACCGGCCACAUUGGGACUGAGAUACGGCCCAGACUCCUACGGGAGGCAGCAGUGGGGAAUAUUGCACAAUGGGCGGAAGCCUGAUGCAGCAACGCCGCGUGCGGGAUGACGGCCUUCGGGUUGUAAACCGCUUUCGCCUGUGACGAAGCGUGAGUGACGGUAAUGGGUAAAGAAGCACCGGCUAACUACGUG
RNAcentral lists this ribosomal RNA (468 nucleotides) under uncultured bacterium. RNAcentral's name for it is "partial 16S ribosomal RNA". It matches the Rfam family "Bacterial small subunit ribosomal RNA", at positions 28 to 507 of the family's 1533-position model. The record is from RNAcentral.